GACGAACGCUGGCGGCGUGGAUUAGGCAUGCAAGUCGAACGGUAUCAUCCUUUCGGGGGUGAGAGAGUGGCGAACUGGUGAGUAACACGUAGGUUAUCUACCCUCAAGACGGGGACAACCCAGGGAAACUUGGGCUAAUACCGGAUGUGAGCAACUUUUAGUUGUUUGAAAGGUGGCGUAAGCUGUCGCUUGGGGAUGAGCCUGCGUCCUAUUAGUUAGUUGGUGAGGUAACGGCUCACCUAGGCAAUGAUAGGUAGGCGGCCUUAACGGGUGGUCGCCCACACUGGGGAUUGAGAUACGGCCCAGACUCCUACGGGAGGCAGCAGUCGAGAAUAGUCUACAAUGGUCGGAAGACUGAUAGUGCGACGCCGCGUGAACGAUGAAUCCCUUCGGGGUGUAAAGUUCUUUUAUAUGUGAGCAGUGCUUCUUAUAUUAACAGUAUGGGGAGAGAGAUAUUAGCAUAUGAAUAAGCAACGGCUAACUCCGUGCCAGCAGCCGCGGUAACUCGU
This 509-nucleotide ribosomal RNA is filed under the name uncultured bacterium. RNAcentral's name for it is "bacterial SSU rRNA". It matches the Rfam family "Bacterial small subunit ribosomal RNA", at positions 28 to 528 of the family's 1533-position model. The record is from RNAcentral.